This 503-nucleotide ribosomal RNA is filed under the name uncultured bacterium. Its description in RNAcentral is "partial 16S ribosomal RNA". It matches the Rfam family "Bacterial small subunit ribosomal RNA", at positions 30 to 523 of the family's 1533-position model. The record is from RNAcentral.
AUUGAACGCUGGCGGCAGGCUUAACACAUGCAAGUCGAGCGGGGUGAUGGUGCUUGCACUAUCGCUUAGCGGCGGACGGGUGAGUAAUGCUUAGGAAUCUGCCUAUUAGUGGGGGACAACAUCUCGAAAGGGAUGCUAAUACCGCAUACGUCCUACGGGAGAAAGCAGGGGAUCGCUUGUGACCUUGCGCUAAUAGAUGAGCCUAAGUCGGAUUAGCUAGUUGGUGGGGUAAAGGCCUACCAAGGCGACGAUCUGUAGCGGGUCUGAGAGGAUGAUCCGCCACACUGGGACGGGGGCACGGCCCAGACUCCUACGGGAGGCAGCAGUGGGGAAUAUUGGACAAUGGGGGGAACCCUGAUCCAGCCAUGCCGCGUGUGUGAAGAAGGCCUUAUGGUUGUAAAGCACUUUAAGCGAGGAGGAGGCUCUUUUGGUUAAUACCCAAGAUGAGUGGACGUUACUCGCAGAAUAAGCACCGGCUAACUCUGUGCCAGCAGCCGCGGUAA